AACAGAGAUCUCUGCAGGAGUUAAAAUUCUUUUAGUUAUCGUCUUAUAAAGCCAGAUUCCCAGUUUGAAUCUGUGGCUAUUUAAAGGAUGCCAAAUUACGAUGUGAUACAAGCUCUCUACAAAAAAUAGGAAGAUCAAUCUCGUAAUAGGAUAUCAGGCACGACAUCUGGAAGAAUGUUGAGAAAAUUCUGGAGGCAAUCUUCAAUACACAUUCAAUUCUAGAGAUUUCAAGAAGCUAUCCCCUUUGGGCAUUGGAUGUAUUUUGAAACUUCAUGGAAAAAAGUUCCAUUUACAUUUUGGAGACCACAUUCCAUUGUGAUGAACUGUUAGAAAUCUUAUUGUCUACUGGAAAAGGUGAGUAUCUAUUCCAAGAUAGACAUGUCCAGUUUGGAGGCAACUUUGUGAGUUCAAGAGAUCAGGAGUUCUUGAGUCACCUCCUUUUGGAACUGAAUGGGGACAGAAGAGUAUUCUCCAGCUACUACUCUUUGAGAGACUACCAACUUGAGAUGACUAC
Molecule: long non-coding RNA, 514 nt
Filed under: Sarcophilus harrisii (Tasmanian devil)
Lineage: Eukaryota; Metazoa; Chordata; Mammalia; Dasyuromorphia; Dasyuridae
Description: lncRNA (ENSSHAG00000023760.1)
Source: RNAcentral